RNAcentral lists this ribosomal RNA (887 nucleotides) under uncultured bacterium. Its description in RNAcentral is "bacterial SSU rRNA". It matches the Rfam family "Bacterial small subunit ribosomal RNA", at positions 8 to 916 of the family's 1533-position model. The record is from RNAcentral.
AGAGUUUGAUCCUGGCUCAGGAUGAACGCUGACAGAAUGCUUAACACAUGCAAGUCUAUUUGAAGCACCUUCGGGUGUGGAGGAUGGCGGACGGGUGAGUAACGCGUAAGGAACUUGCCUCUUGGACUGGGACAACUGUUGGAAACGACAGCUAAUACCGGAUAUUAUGAGAUUCUCGCAUGAGAAACUUAUGAAAGCUAUAUGCGCCAAGAGAGAGCCUUGCGUUCCAUUAGCUAGUUGGUGGGGUAAAGGCCUACCAAGGCGACGAUGGAUAGCCGGCCUGAGAGGGUGAACGGCCACAAGGGGACUGAGACACGGCCCUUACUCCUACGGGAGGCAGCAGUGGGGAAUAUUGGACAAUGGACCAAAAGUCUGAUCCAGCAAUUCUGUGUGCACGAUGAAGGUCUUCGGAUUGUAAAGUGCUUUCAGUUGGGAAGAAGAAAGUGACGGUACCAACAGAAGAAGCGACGGCUAAAUACGUGCCAGCAGCCGCGGUAAUACGUAUGUCGCAAGCGUUAUCCGGAUUUAUUGGGCGUAAAGCGCGUCUAGGCGGAAAAGUAAGUCUGAUGUGAAAAUGCGGGGCUCAACUCCGUAUUGCGUUGGAAACUGCUUUUCUAGAGUACUGGAGAGGUGGGCGGAACUACAAGUGUAGAGGUGAAAUUCGUAGAUAUUUGUAGGAAUGCCGAUGGAGAAGUCAGCUCACUGGACAGAUACUGACGCUGAAGCGCGAAAGCGUGGGGAGCAAACAGGAUUAGAUACCCUGGUAGUCCACGCCGUAAACGAUGAUCACUAGGUGUUGGGGGUCGAACCUCAGCGCCCAAGCUAACGCGAUAAGUGAUCCGCCUGGGGAGUACGCACGCAAGUGUGAAACUCAAAGGAAUUGACGG